CAACAACUAACACAGCACCUACCCCAUUCUGGGCUUCCUAUGGAUUAUCUCCUUUAAUCCUCGUGACAACUCUGUGAUAUGAAAAAAGUGCUGCAUGGAGAGACCUAGUAAUGUGUCCAAGGUGUCACAGUCAUUAAGUGGGAGAGCUGACAUUUGAUCCCAGGCAGGCGUCAGCCUAUGCCAUCCCGUCUCUCCAAGGCAGCCACACACCCUGGGAUGACAGAUGGGGAAACUGAGGCCCAGAGAGGCGUAACCUGGCCCAGAGUCCCACCGUUAGUGAGAAACCAGAACUACAAGCCAGGACUCCUGACUGUAGGCCUCUAUUAUUUUCCCCAAUACCUCCUAGAGCUUAUUAUAAAUCGGAUGGGAGAAGGGAUCACUCCUGGUAGGGAGUCACGCCGACCCGGCAGAAACUCCGGUGAGUUCCAGCUGUGAUGAGCAGAGGUCACGGACAAAGAAGAGGAUAAGUGAACAACGUUGCAGAACCUUGUGGGCCUUUAUAAUUCAUCUAUAAUUCAGAAUUAGCUUUCACUGAGCACUUACUAAGUGCCAGGCCCUUUGGUAAAUCAACUCAUUGAAUUCACACUAAAUUCUGUUACUCCAUUUUUCUGCAGGUGAUGGUAUUGAAGCUUUGAGAAGUCAGUUAAGUUGUUCAAGGGAACCCAAUUCCAGAUCCAGAGGCCACAUGUAGUUUCCCCAAGAGGGCAGAGAUUGGGCCUUCCCCUCCUCUUCAUCCUCCCUCAGUGCCUGCCUGGCACAGACACUCCAUCCAUGCCAUGUACUGACAUUGAUGGGCCAACACACUGAACCAUUGAUUGACUACAGCUUGUGUCUCAGCCAGUAUAGUGGUUAUUUGCAAGGCUGCUUUAUGUAGCAUGGUUCAGGCCAUUUGAGCCCCCAGCUCAGAAAUGAGCACCAGCUGGUGAGCAGGCCAAGCGCCCAGGGAAAGGC
This 951-nucleotide long non-coding RNA is filed under the name Homo sapiens (human). Its description in RNAcentral is "HSALNT0290413". The record is from RNAcentral. Lineage: Eukaryota; Metazoa; Chordata; Mammalia; Primates; Hominidae.